GACGAACGCUGGCGGCGUGCUUAACACAUGCAAGUCGAACGAAAAGGCCCGACGUUUGUGGCGUUCUCGUUUGGCGAACACGUGAGUAACACAUGAGGAACCCCUCCUUAACUGUCUGAGAUAUUCAGGAAAAUCGGUCUAAUAUCCGGGAUAAUCUUCUGCUCCAUGUGGUUGAAUGGAAAAUUUCGGCGGUUGGGUAUGUACUCGCUGCUUAUCAGCUGGUUGGUGGGGUAGUGGCUGUCCAAGGCUUUGACGGGUAGCCGGCCUGGGAGGGUGACCGGCCACAUUGGGACUGAGAUACGGCCCAGACUCCUACGGGAGGCAGCAGUGGGGAAUAUUGCACAAUGGGCGGAAGCCUGAUGCAGCAACGCCGCGUGCGGGAUGACGGCCUUCGGGUUGUAAACCGCUUUCGCCUGUGACGAAGCGUGAGUGACGGUAAUGGGUAAAGAAGCACCGGCUAACUACGUG
This 468-nucleotide ribosomal RNA is filed under the name uncultured bacterium. RNAcentral's name for it is "partial 16S ribosomal RNA". It matches the Rfam family "Bacterial small subunit ribosomal RNA", at positions 28 to 507 of the family's 1533-position model. The record is from RNAcentral.